ACUUCUGAAUAAGUAUACAAAACAAAUAGGUUGUCUUUUAAUACAUGUAUUUAAUGUAUGUUUAAAGGAUGAUUAUAAACCUUUGAGACACAGGUUUCCGAAUGGGGCAACCCGGUACACUGAAGGUGUACCAUACCGUAAGGUAAGCAAACGCAGGGAACUGAAACAUCUUAUUACCUGCAGGAGAAGAAAACAAAUGAGUGAUUCCCCUGGUAGCGGCGAGCGACCGGGGAACAGCCCAAACCCACUCUGUUUCGGCAUAUUGGGGGUUGUAGGACUGCGACAUAGGAGAAGUAAAUGAAAUGGAAUGCUUUGGAAAAAGCCAUCACAGAGGGUGAUAAUCCCGUACAUGCAAAUUUACGAUUCUUAGCAGCAUCCUGAGUAAGGCGGGACACGUGAAAUCCUGUCUGAAUCCGCCGGGUCCAUCCGGCAAGGCUAAAUACUCGUGAGAGACCGAUAGUGAACCAGUACUGUGAAGGAAAGGUGAAAAGCACCCCAAAUAGGGGAGUGAAAUAGUUCCUGAAACCGUACGCCUACAAGCAGUCGGAGCCCUUCUUGGGGUGACGGCAUGCCUUUUGCAUAAUGAGCCUACGAGUUACUCAUCACUGGCGAGGUUAAGUACUUCAAGGUACGUCAGCCGAAGCGAAAGCGAAUCUGAACAGGGUGUUUAGUCAGUGGUGGUAGACGCGAAACCUUAGUGAUCUACCCAUGUGCAGGUUGAAGGUUUGGUAACACAAACUGGAGGACCGAACCGAUAAGCGUUGAAAAGCUUCCGGAUGACAUGUGGGUAGGGGUGCCUCUGUUUUAGUGUAUAAGAGGUAGAGCUACUGAUUGGAUGCGAGGGCUUCACCGCCUAUCAAAUCCGGCCAAACUCCGAAUGCUUAUACAUGUUUACAGGGAGUGAGCCCACGGGUGCUAAGGUCCGUGGACGAAAGAGGAAGAACUCAGCCCAUCAGCUAAGGUCCCCAAUUGUAUCCUGAGUUGACAACGGAACGCGGUGUAACUGCCUUGACAGCUGGUAUGUUGGCUUGGAAGCAGCCAUUCAUUUAACGAGUGCGUAACAGCUCACCAGUCGAGUGGUUCUGCAUGGAUAAUACUCGGGCAUAAGGAUACAACCGAAGCUAUGGACUCAUGAUUAAUUUCAUGAGUGGUAGGAGAGCAUUCCAUUGCAGCGUCGAAGCCAUAUCGUGAGAUAUAGUGGAGCGGAUGGAAAAGCAAAUGUAGGCAUAAGUAACGAUAAUGCGGGUGAGAACCCCGCACGCCGAAAGGUCAAGGAUUCCCCGGCAAUGUCAUUCAUCCGGGGGUUAGUCGGGUUCUAAGGUGUAGCCGAUGGGCGAAGCCGAUGACCAACAGGUUAAUAUUCCUGUACUCAAUUAUACUGCGAUGCAGCGACGAAGCGGUGAUAAUGCUGCGCACUGACGGAAUAGUGCGUUGAAGCCCGUACCCCUUGAGGUUGGUAGUCAAGUACGCCAUCCGAGGCGAAAGGCGAUAGUACCCCAAAGCUCCGGCUGCGGGGAUAAUGCAUGUAAUCUUACUUCCAAGAAAACCUGCUCAGCUUCAGGUAUAAUUGACCCGUACUGUAAACGGACACACGUGACCGCGUAGAGUAUACUAAGGCGCACGAGCUAUUCAUGGCCAAGGAACUAGGCAAAAUAGACCUGUAACUUCGGGAUAAAGGUCGCUCACGUGAGUGAGCUGCAAUAAAUAGGCCCAGGCGACUGUUUAUCAAAAACACAUGGCUAUGCUAAAUCGCAAGAUGACGUAUAUGGCCUGACACCUGCCCGGUGCCGGAAGGUUAAGAGGAGAGCUUAGGAUUAAUCCGACGGUUUGAAUUGAAGCCCCGGUAAACGGCGGCCGUAACUAUAACGGUCCUAAGGUAGCGAAAUUCCUUGUCGGGUAAGUUCCGACCUGCACGAAU
RNAcentral lists this ribosomal RNA (1918 nucleotides) under termite gut metagenome. Its description in RNAcentral is "bacterial LSU rRNA". It matches the Rfam family "Bacterial large subunit ribosomal RNA", at positions 90 to 1997 of the family's 2925-position model. The record is from RNAcentral.